ACACUAUGUAAGGUACCGGACUUCUAAAACUAUGAAGUUACGGUGUAUAUUUAAAUGGUUCCGGUGAGGUUGCGGUGGAACGCAUAUCGGAUUUUAAAUAUAAAAGUGAAAAUAAAUAAAAAUAGUAUGAGAUACUAUUUUUAUUGGAUUUAGAGAAGUGAAAUAUAAGUUGAAAAUGACCUGUGCUGAAAUCGGAGCGAAAACAGAAGAUUUAGAAUUUUCUGUUAGAAACGGGGCAGAUAAAUUAGCAGAAAAUACACAGUGUCAAAAAAUUAUGAAAAUUGGCGGAGAUGUCAGAAAUAUUUUUAUGAGGCUAGAUUUAAAGUUUCAUAUUUUUCUGACACCCGUAGAGUGAGAAAUAAAAUCCGAGGGUUAUCUAAUAAAGAUUACAGUUCGGCACAGUUUUCGGUGACCAAAUGGGGUCGAAACUGAAAACUUAAAAUAUAUUCUUACUCAGUACGUUAAACUGAGCCUGCCUGUCAAAUUUGAGCCCAAACGGACAUUCAGAAGGACUCCAACUGUUCCGAACUGCUAAACUGCC
This 541-nucleotide long non-coding RNA is filed under the name Ananas comosus (pineapple). RNAcentral's name for it is "long non-coding RNA (ACOM_LNC034087)". The record is from RNAcentral. Lineage: Eukaryota; Viridiplantae; Streptophyta; Magnoliopsida; Poales; Bromeliaceae.